UUUGAAGAGGCCCGGGCCUAAAGAAAGUAGUUUUAUGUUCCCGGGCCUAUUCCUGAACAUUAAAGAGGCCCAGGCCAAAGUAAAUAAGAGAUGAGGGCCUGGGCCUAUCCCUGACCCUUGAAGAGGCCCGGGCCAAAAGGAAGAAAUGAUGUGGGCCUGGGCCUAACCCUGACACUUGAAGAGGCCUGGGCCUAAAGCAAGAAAUGAUGGGGGCCUGGGCCUAUACCUGAAGUUUACUUUUUCCUUUCUUUUCCUUCCCUUUCCCCUUUUCCCUUUUCCCCUUCCUCCUUCCCCAUUUCCCCAUUUCCCCCUCCCCCUUUCCCCCUCCCCUGGUUCCCCCCCCUCCCCUUUCCCCCUCCCCUGGUUCCCCCUCCUCUUUCCCCCUUUCCCCCUUUCCCCCUUUCCCCUUCCCUCUUCCCCCUUUCCACCUUCCUCCUUGGCACACAUCACAUCUUUCUUUAGGGGGAAAGGUUUUUACCCCUUUCCCCUUGUCCCCUUGUCCCCUUUCCCCCUCUCCCUUUCUCCUUUCCCCCUGUCCCCUUUCCCCCUCCCCACUUUAGGGGAAAAGAAAGAUGUGAUGUGUGCCAAGGUGGAAAGGGGGAAAGAGGGAAGGGGAAAGGGGAAAUGGGGAAAGGGGGAGGGGGAAAGGGCAAAGGGGGCAAGGGGAAAGGAGGAAAAACCUUUCCCCCUCCCCCAUUUCUCCUUUACCCCUCCCCCUUUCCCUUUUCCCCCUCUCCCUUCCCCCUCCCCACUUUUCCCCUUCCCCCUUUCUUUCUUUAGGGUGUGUCUUAGUCAGGGCUUCUAUUCCUGCACAAACAUCAUGACCAAGAAGCAGUUGGGGAGGAAAGGGUUUAUUUAGCUUACAUUUCACUGAAAGAAGGACUGGAACUCAAGCAGGUCAGGAAGCAGGAGCUGAUUCAGAGGCCAUGGAGGGAUGUCCUUUACUGGCUUGCUUCCCCUGCCUUGCUCAGCCUGCUCUCUUAUAGAACCAAGACUACCAGCCCAGGGAUGGUCACACCCAUAGAGGCCUUUCCCACUUGAUCACUAAUUGAGAAAAUGCCUUACAGUUGGAUUUCUUGGAGGCAUUUCCCCAACUGAAGUGCCUUUCUCUGUGAUAACUCCAGCUGUGUCACGUUGACACAAAACUAGCCAGGACAGGGGAAAAAAUAGGUUUUUCCCCCUUUCCCCUUGCCCCCUUUCCCCAUUU
This 1207-nucleotide long non-coding RNA is filed under the name Mus spicilegus (steppe mouse). RNAcentral describes it as "lncRNA (ENSMSIG00000001793.1)". The record is from RNAcentral. Lineage: Eukaryota; Metazoa; Chordata; Mammalia; Rodentia; Muridae.